UGGGGAAUUUUGGACAAUGGGCGCAAGCCUGAUCCAGCCAUGCCGCGUGCGGGAAGAAGGCCUUCGGGUUGUAAAGCUCUUUUGUCAGGGAAGAAACGGUGAAAGCUAAUAUCUUUUGCUAAUGACGGUACCUGAAGAAUAAGCACCGGCUAACUACGUGCCAGCAGCCGCGGUAAUACGUAGGGUGCAAGCGUUAAUCGGAAUUACUGGGCGUAAAGCGUGCGCAGGCGGUUUGCUAAGACCGAUGUGAAAUCCCCGGGCUCAACCUGGGAACUGCAUUUGUGACUGCAUAGCUAGAGUACGGCAGAGGGGGAUGGAAUUCCGCGUGUAGCAGUGAAAUGCGUAGAUAUGCGGAGGAACACCGAUGGCGAAGGCAAUCCCCUGGGCCUGUACUGACGCUCAUGCACGAAAGCGUGGGGAGCAACCA
This 427-nucleotide ribosomal RNA is filed under the name uncultured bacterium. RNAcentral describes it as "bacterial SSU rRNA". It matches the Rfam family "Bacterial small subunit ribosomal RNA", at positions 355 to 774 of the family's 1533-position model. The record is from RNAcentral.